UACGGAGGAUGCAAGCGUUAUCCGGAUUCACUGGGUUUAAAGGGUGCGUAGGUGGGUUGGUAAGUCAGUGGUGAAAUCUCCAGGCUUAACUUGGAAACUGCCAUUGAUACUAUCAAUCUUGAAUACCGUGGAGGUCAGCGGAAUAUGCCAUGUAGCGGUGAAAUGCUUAGAUAUGACAUAGAACACCAAUUGCGAAGGCAGCUGGCUACACGAAUAUUGACACUGAUGCACGAAAGCGUGGGGAUCAAACAGG
This 253-nucleotide ribosomal RNA is filed under the name uncultured bacterium. Its description in RNAcentral is "partial 16S ribosomal RNA". It matches the Rfam family "Bacterial small subunit ribosomal RNA", at positions 524 to 776 of the family's 1533-position model. The record is from RNAcentral.